AAAUGAAAAAUCUCCCUACAAAAAAAAAACGUAAAGCUUGCACCUUGAAGAACAAGAACAACCGACAAUUACUCUAUUUUUUAGUUCUUCGUUUUAAUUACUUUAAUCGGGUUCGUUCGAGUUCGAGCAUAGAUUCACGACCACCGUACCAUGUUCACUGUACCUACAACAGCGCAAUGGAGUCUUCAUAAAGACUCAUUAUCCGAACAGUCUCAUUUUGAGACUAUACGGCAUUUGAACUUUGCACGUGUCUUGCUAUUCGGCUCUCAUUCCCUCGACCUUCAUCCGACCAGAGAACAAAGAGAGUGGUUAGCCAAACGGCAGACCAUUGAAAACUUUACUCUUAUGGUAGUCAAAUGUAGCUUUAGUCAUCUCAUUUUUAUUUUUUGAUGCUUGUUAUGUGUCUGGUGUGACUGACAUUUUAUCUAGCUGAGUGAUUGUGAUAAUUAUUUAACUGCUUAUUCUAA
Long non-coding RNA from Lycium barbarum (goji berry), 467 nucleotides. RefSeq lists it as uncharacterized. The record is from RefSeq and is a predicted model, not a curated record. The transcript is spliced from 2 exons. NCBI's taxonomy places the organism in Eukaryota, Viridiplantae, Streptophyta, Magnoliopsida, Solanales, Solanaceae.